GACAGAGGGUGCAAGCGUUGUCCGGAAUUAUUGGGCGUAAAGGGCUCGUAGGCGGUUUGUCGCGUCGGGAGUGAAAUCCACUGGCUUAACUGGUGGCUUGCUUUCGAUACGGGCAGACUGGAGGUAUGCAGGGGAGAACGGAAUUCCUGGUGUAGCGGUGAAAUGCGCAGAUAUCAGGAGGAACACCGGUGGCGAAGGCGGUUCUCUGGGCAUGUCCUGACGCUGAGGAGCGAAAGUGUGGGGAGCGAACAGG
This 253-nucleotide ribosomal RNA is filed under the name uncultured bacterium. Its description in RNAcentral is "partial 16S ribosomal RNA". It matches the Rfam family "Bacterial small subunit ribosomal RNA", at positions 524 to 776 of the family's 1533-position model. The record is from RNAcentral.